Molecule: ribosomal RNA, 432 nt
Filed under: uncultured bacterium
Lineage: Bacteria
Description: bacterial SSU rRNA
Rfam family: Bacterial small subunit ribosomal RNA
Source: RNAcentral
ACUCCUACGGGAGGCAGCAGUGGGGAAUAUUGCACAAUGGGCGCAAGCCUGAUGCAGCCAUGCCGCGUGUAUGAAGAAGGCCUCGGUUGUAAAGUACUUCUAGCAGUGAGGAAGGUGGGUAGUGUUAAUAGCAUACUCAUUUGUACGUUAGCUGCAGAAGAAGCACCGGCUAACUCCGUGCCAGCAGCCGCGGUAAUACGGAGGGUGCGAGCGUUAAUCGGAAUUACUGGCGUAAAGCGCAUGCAGGUGGUUGUUAAGUCAGAUGUGAAAGCCCGGGGCUCAACCUCGGAAUUGCAUUUGAAACUGGCAAACUAGAGUACUGUAGAGGGGGUAGAAUUUCAGGUGUAGCGGUGAAAUGCGUAGAGAUCUGAAGGAAUACCGGUGGCGAAGGCGGCCCCCUGGACAGAUACUGACACUCAGAUGCGAAAGCGU